RNAcentral lists this ribosomal RNA (403 nucleotides) under uncultured bacterium. Its description in RNAcentral is "bacterial SSU rRNA". It matches the Rfam family "Bacterial small subunit ribosomal RNA", at positions 975 to 1375 of the family's 1533-position model. The record is from RNAcentral.
CUGGGCUCGAACGGCUUAAGAACGACUGUAGAAAUAUGGUUUUCCCGCAAGGGACGGGAGUCGAGGUGCUGCAUGGCUGUCGUCAGCUCGUGUCGUGAGAAUGUUGGGUUAAGUCCCGCAACGAGCGCAACCCUUGUCCUGUGUUACCAUGCCGAAAGGCGGCACUCGCAGGAGACCGCCAGCGAUAAGCUGGAGGAAGGUGGGGAUGACGUCAAGUCCUCAUGGCCUUUAUGUCCAGGGCUACACACGUGCUACAAUGGGCGGUACAAAGCGCUGCGAAGCCGCAAGGUGGAGCCAAUCGCAGAAAGCCGCUCUCAGUUCGGAUUGCAGGCUGCAACUCGCCUGCAUGAAGCUGGAAUCGCUAGUAAUGCUAUAUCAGAACGAUAGCGUGAAUACGGUUCCC